Etheostoma spectabile (orangethroat darter) is the source of this 156-nucleotide long non-coding RNA. RefSeq lists it as uncharacterized. The record is from RefSeq and is a predicted model, not a curated record. Lineage: Eukaryota; Metazoa; Chordata; Actinopteri; Perciformes; Percidae. The transcript has 3 exons.
UUUAGGGAGACCUGUAAAGACACCGUUGCAGUAUUCAAGUCUACUGAAGAUGAAAGCAUGGACAAGUUUUUCCAAAUCCUGUUGACACAUAAGUCCUUUGAUCCUUGAUAUAUUUUUAAGGUGAUCAUAGGCUGACUUUUUUAUUAUGUUAAUAUG